This 1309-nucleotide long non-coding RNA is filed under the name Anas platyrhynchos platyrhynchos (common mallard). RNAcentral's name for it is "lncRNA (ENSAPLG00000029157.1)". The record is from RNAcentral. Lineage: Eukaryota; Metazoa; Chordata; Aves; Anseriformes; Anatidae.
GUUUUGUUGUAAUCCAGAAAUCUUAAAUUGUCACUCUCUAAUGGAACAAGAAAUGGGUAUUCUAAAUUCAUAAAGAUUUAUAAACAUUCACUGCUGCCAGCUGACAGAUAUAUGCAUCACCUGCGGUUUUCUCAUUCUUCAGUUCUCUCCUAUGAGCCAUGGGAAAAUGAUGUUCUUGCACCCUUCCUGCAGGGGUGAGAAAUCUUAAGAAGGUCAAGUUAGAGAGUCUAAGUGAACUGGAUGACUGAAAAUGAACCAGCGGGGAAGAACAAACCACUUAAUUUGAUAAAUCACGACACAAAAAUAUUGCACAGGAGAUUCCAUUGUGGAUCAUUACUUGCCUUGUGUUUGACAGGGUAGGCACUGGAUGGUUUUAUUGUAGGGCCCAGGACCUGUUGUGUGGCAUCAGAGUAAUGUAAAAUAUUCUGGUUUUGAAUAGUCAGUCCAAGACAAAGGGGUUGUCAGAAAACACUUUUUCUUCCUCAGGGGAGAAGCUGAUGUUUUAUUACAAAAAGCAAUACCCUCCACCCAUACGGAAGCAACACAUAAACCUCUUAAAACUGCAUUUUGGGAUACUGCCUGCAAAGAAGAAAGUUAGCAUUCAGUCCUGAAAAUGAUGUCUCAAAGGACUAUUUCAGCUGCAGAUGUCCUUUUAGGCUCCAUAAUUCAUCCUGUAUCUGGUCCCUCUGCAGACACAGGUGGAAGUAAACUGUGCUCAGUCCAGUCCCAGGAUAGAAAGGGCAGUUGUCACUGGGAUGAUGCCUACAGUGAGACAUGCACAAUUAUCCCUACCUUCAUAUCUGUUCUUGUCCAUAAAUAACUUGCAUCUGCUUUGCUUGAAAAAUCAUUUGUAAUUAUUCUUCCUCUGGCUGUGAGUGCUAUAAUUGUUAAUCAAUCUUCAUUUUCAUGUGGUGAUCUGUAUUUUCUUCCUGGCUAAUAUUUUAAAUGGAUAUUGUAUUGUUUUGUAAUUAUUAAUAAUGAUAUUGUUAUUUGAACAUGAUGAUUAUGAUUAGAGGUAAAUGCAAUUUCCCAAUGGAAAAUUAUUAAGCUAAAAAUACCACUUCAUCAAUUUAUAUAAUUUAUGGGGACAUCUUUGCAAUGAACUCAAAAAGUGAUAUUUCAAAGUAAAGUAAAGAAUCUAUAUUCCAGGAUACUGAGAAGCAUAAGCCUCCUUUUAUUGUCAUAAGUACACAAGAAUAAUUAAGUGAGCUAUUUGAAGAAUAGGUUACUGGUCAUUCUUUGGAUCAUUGAUAAAGAUUCAUGUUUCUUAUUGAAUAAAAUAUGUUUCUUAAGGAAGGGAACUGUAGGU